Molecule: ribosomal RNA, 161 nt
Filed under: Triticum aestivum (bread wheat)
Lineage: Eukaryota; Viridiplantae; Streptophyta; Magnoliopsida; Poales; Poaceae
Description: rRNA SSU_rRNA_eukarya
Rfam family: Eukaryotic small subunit ribosomal RNA
Source: Rfam by way of RNAcentral
CACCGCCCGUCGCUCCUACCGAUUGAAUGGUCCGGUGAAGUGUUCGGAUCGCGGCGACGGGGGCGGUUCGCCGCCCCCGACGUCGCGAGAAAUCCAUUGAACCUUAUCAUUUAGAGGAAGGAGAAGUCGUAACAAGGUUUCCGUAGGUGAACCUGCGGAAG